Long non-coding RNA from Daphnia pulex (common water flea), 405 nucleotides. RefSeq lists it as uncharacterized. The record is from RefSeq and is a predicted model, not a curated record. The transcript has 2 exons. NCBI's taxonomy places the organism in Eukaryota, Metazoa, Arthropoda, Branchiopoda, Diplostraca, Daphniidae.
UGGUUGGUUAGAGAUGGGUGCAUUGCUGUCGACAUGGAGUCGCAGCACUGGUCUUCUGUAGGAACGAAGACCUUCCGCACCGUCGGUUGUUUUGCUGGAGUGCUAAGGCGUAGGAAGGCGUUGCCGGUCUGGCAACGUUGAAGAGGUUCUUUCCGGGAAUUUCUUUUUGGCAGCGGUGUAAUGUGGGAGGGAGGGAGAGAUGGAGAAGGGACUAGAGUUGGCUAUUCUUAUGUGUUCCUUUCGUCUGUUUUGGAUACCAAGGAUUAUUUGUUUUCUACUUGUGGCGGUUUUCAGAUGUCUUUUGAUGUUGGUCCUUGAUGUGAUGCUCAUUGGUCAGCGUGAGUUUGAUGGAUGGCCAACAGUUGAUCCCAUGACCCUGUUGGUUUCUUGAUUUGGAGUCUAGAG